ACUGUAGGCUGCAACUCGCCUACACGAAGUUGGAAUUGCUAGUAAUCGUGGAUCAGCAUGCCACGGUGAAUACGUUCCCGGGUCUUGUACACACCGCCCGUCACACCAUGGGAGCUGGUAACACCCGAAGUCAGUAGUCUAACCGCAAGGAGGACGCUGCCGAAGGUGGGAUUAGCGACUGGGGUGAAGUCGUAACAAGGUAGC
Molecule: ribosomal RNA, 204 nt
Filed under: uncultured bacterium
Lineage: Bacteria
Description: partial 16S ribosomal RNA
Rfam family: Bacterial small subunit ribosomal RNA
Source: RNAcentral